Macrobrachium nipponense is the source of this 409-nucleotide long non-coding RNA. RefSeq lists it as uncharacterized. The record is from RefSeq and is a predicted model, not a curated record. The transcript has 3 exons. Lineage: Eukaryota; Metazoa; Arthropoda; Malacostraca; Decapoda; Palaemonidae.
GACGAACGUAAAUGUUCGAACAAUUCCUGUUUAAAUAACACCGUGUGUACGAACACUUCCGGAAGCUACCAAUACGAGUGUCUUCCUGGAUACAACUUGACUGCAGAAGGCUGUGUUGAUAUCGUCGAUGAUUGUGCUAAUGCAAGUUGUGGAGAUGGCCAAUUUUGCACUGAUAAACCCGCAGGCUACGAUUGUACUUGCUACGCUUGUGCUGGGCGUUGCCAAUAUAAGGCAACUUUCAUGGAGCAGCUGGAAGUGUGUAUGAAGCUCAUUCAAGGAAACAUGACCAUUGAUGAAGCGCGCAUUCGUUGUGAAGGAGAAUUAAUUUCUCUGCCCUACAUUUCCACCAUAUUGGAUAAUUUUCCCGUUGAGACACUUCAUGAACCAGUUUCAGCUCUCAUGGAAAACG